UACGGGGGGGGCAAGCGUUGUUCGGAAUUACUGGGCGUAAAGGGCUCGUAGGUGGCCAAUUAAGUCAGACGUGAAAUCCCCAGGCUCAACCUGGGAACUGCGUCUGAUACUGGUUGGCUUGAAUUCGGGAGAGGGAUGCAGAAUUCCAGGUGUAGCGGUGAAAUGCGUAGAUAUCUGGAGGAAUACCGGUGGCGAAGGCGGCAUCCUGGACCGACAUUGACGCUGAGGAGCGAAAGCGUGGGGAGCAAACAGG
This 253-nucleotide ribosomal RNA is filed under the name uncultured bacterium. Its description in RNAcentral is "partial 16S ribosomal RNA". It matches the Rfam family "Bacterial small subunit ribosomal RNA", at positions 524 to 776 of the family's 1533-position model. The record is from RNAcentral.